UCUCCGUAGGUGAACCUGCGGAGGGAUCAUUACAGAGUUCAUGCCCUACCGGGUAGAUCUCCCACCCUAUGUUAUUAUUACUUUGUUGCUUUGGCGGGCCGUUAGGCUCCGGCCCGACUACCGGCCCCGGCUGGUAAGCGCCCGCCCGAGGAACCAAAACCCUGAAUAUUAGUGUCGUCUGAGUACUAUAUAAUAGUUAAAACUUUUAACAACGGAUCUCUUGGUUCUG
RNAcentral lists this unclassified non-coding RNA (229 nucleotides) under plant metagenome. RNAcentral's name for it is "partial contains small subunit ribosomal RNA, internal transcribed spacer 1, and 5.8S ribosomal RNA". The record is from RNAcentral.